GGACGAACGCUGGCGGCGCGCCUAACACAUGCAAGUCGAACGAGCGAGAGAGAGCUUGCUUUCUCGAGCGAGUGGCGAACGGGUGAGUAACGCGUUAGGAACCUGCCUCAAAGAGGGGGACAACAGUUGGAAACGACUGCUAAUACCGCAUAAGUCCACGACCCGGCAUCGGGUAGAGGGAAAAGGAGCAAUCCGCUUUGAGAUGGCCUCGCGUCCGAUUAGCUAGUUGGGGAGGUAACGGCCCACCAAGGCGACGAUCGGCAGCCGGACUGAGAGGUUGAACGGACACAUUGGGACAGAGACACGGCCCAGAAUACUAGGGGAGGCAGCAGUGGGGAAUAUUGCACAAUGGGGGAGACCCUGAUGCAGCGACGCCGCGUGGAGGAAGAAGGUCUUCGGAUUGUAAACUCCCGUUGUAGAGGAAGAUAAUGACGGUACUCAACAAGGAAGUGACGGCUAACUACGUG
RNAcentral lists this ribosomal RNA (467 nucleotides) under uncultured bacterium. RNAcentral's name for it is "partial 16S ribosomal RNA". It matches the Rfam family "Bacterial small subunit ribosomal RNA", at positions 27 to 507 of the family's 1533-position model. The record is from RNAcentral.